This 328-nucleotide ribosomal RNA is filed under the name uncultured eukaryote. Its description in RNAcentral is "partial 18S ribosomal RNA". It matches the Rfam family "Eukaryotic small subunit ribosomal RNA", at positions 1470 to 1796 of the family's 1831-position model. The record is from RNAcentral.
CCCUUAGAUGUUCUGGGCCGCACGCGCGCUACACUGAUGAAUUCAACGAGCUCCUAACCUAGGCCGAAGGGUCCGGGUAAUCUUUGAAAUUUCAUCGUGAUGGGGAUAGAUUAUUGCAAUUAUUAAUCUUCAACGAGGAAUGCCUAGUAAGCGCAAGUCAUCAGCUUGCGUUGAUUACGUCCCUGCCCUUUGUACACACCGCCCGUCGCUCCUACCGAUUGAAUGGUCCGGUGAAGCGUUCGGACCGUGGCCUUUGGACGGUUCGCCGUCUGUUGGCUGCGGGAAGUUCGUUAAACCUUAUCAUUUAGAGGAAGGAGAAGUCGUAACA